UACAUAGGGUGCGAGCGUUAAUCGGAAUUACUGGGCGUAAAGCGUGCGCAGGCGGUUUUGUAAGUCUGUCGUGAAAUCCCCGGGCUCAACCUGGGAAUUGCGAUGGAGACUGCAAGGCUAGAAUCUGGCAGAGGGGGGUAGAAUUCCACGUGUAGCAGUGAAAUGCGUAGAGAUGUGGAGGAACACCGAUGGCGAAGGCAGCCCCCUGGGUCAAGAUUGACGCUCAUGCACGAAAGCGUGGGGAGCAAACAGG
This 253-nucleotide ribosomal RNA is filed under the name uncultured bacterium. RNAcentral describes it as "partial 16S ribosomal RNA". It matches the Rfam family "Bacterial small subunit ribosomal RNA", at positions 524 to 776 of the family's 1533-position model. The record is from RNAcentral.